AAUUGCUUCUAAGUUUAGAGCCAGAUUUUCCGCCAUUGCUUUUGUCAGAAAGUUUGACAGUACAGCAUCUCUAUCCUCUAGCAAAUUGUGAUUUUGUGCAAGUCCGGAGAGUCAAUAUGGUAACUAUAAACGAGGCUUGUUUAAAGCUACCUUUCUUUUUUCUGCUGCACUGAUAUUGAACCGCCUUAUAGCAGUUAGUUUGUUGAUUGCUUCAUUUGGAUGUCAAGAUCAAUAGCAUCAUACUGCUGUAACUAUAGUAGAUAAAAUGCACUGGACAUGGAAGGGAAAGAAUCAAUAGUGAUGCUUAUUGUGGCUGUAAGAUGUAUUAAUCUGGUGUUUGAUGUGAGAAUUUGAGAGAUCAAUCCUAAAACGUUGCAGACUCAUAGUUCUUUUCAGGGAUUCUACUAUAGAGUUAGUAGACAACGUUUUCAGAUUAU
This 437-nucleotide long non-coding RNA is filed under the name Carica papaya (papaya). RNAcentral's name for it is "long non-coding RNA (CPAP_LNC006321)". The record is from RNAcentral. Lineage: Eukaryota; Viridiplantae; Streptophyta; Magnoliopsida; Brassicales; Caricaceae.